Molecule: transfer RNA, 63 nt
Filed under: Fasciola hepatica (liver fluke)
Lineage: Eukaryota; Metazoa; Platyhelminthes; Trematoda; Plagiorchiida; Fasciolidae
Description: tRNA-Gln
Source: RNAcentral
UGUAGUCUGGUGUGUUGGGCAUGUUAUGUUUUGGUCAUAGGGGUAAUUUGGAGUUGGCUACAA